GGCGGCGUGCUUAACACAUGCAAGUCGAACGGACUUUACAUGAAGCCUAGCGAAUGUAAAGUUAGUGGCGGACGGGUGAGUAACGCGUGAAUAACCUGCCUUAUACUGGGGGACAACAGUUGGAAACGACUGCUAAUACCGCAUAAGCGCACGGAGCUGCAUGGCUCAGUGUGAAAAACUCCGGUGGUAUAAGAUGGAUUCGCGUCUGAUUAGCUAGUUGGUGAGGUAACGGCCCACCAAGGCGACGAUCAGUAGCCGGCCUGAGAGGGUGAACGGCCACAUUGGGACUGAGACACGGCCCAAACUCCUACGGGAGGCAGCAGUGGGGAAUAUUGCACAAUGGGGGAAACCCUGAUGCAGCGACGCCGCGUGAACGAUGAAGUAUUUCGGUAUGUAAAGUUCUAUCAGCAGGGAAGAUAAUGACGGUACCUGACUAAGAAGCACCGGCUAAAUACGUG
RNAcentral lists this ribosomal RNA (458 nucleotides) under uncultured bacterium. RNAcentral's name for it is "bacterial SSU rRNA". It matches the Rfam family "Bacterial small subunit ribosomal RNA", at positions 38 to 507 of the family's 1533-position model. The record is from RNAcentral.